This 253-nucleotide ribosomal RNA is filed under the name uncultured bacterium. RNAcentral's name for it is "partial 16S ribosomal RNA". It matches the Rfam family "Bacterial small subunit ribosomal RNA", at positions 524 to 776 of the family's 1533-position model. The record is from RNAcentral.
UACGGGGGGGGCAAGCGUUGUUCGGAAUUACUGGGCGUAAAGGGCUGGUAGGCGGCCAACUAAGUCGGAUGUGAAAUCCCCAGGCUUAACCUGGGAACUGCAUCCGAUACUGGUCGGCUUGAAUUCGGGAGAGGGAUGCAGAAUUCCAGGUGUAGCGGUGAAAUGCGUAGAUAUCUGGAGGAACACCGGUGGCGAAGGCGGCAUCCUGGACCGGUAUUGACGCUGAGGCGCGAAAGCUAGGGGAGCAAACGGG